RNAcentral lists this ribosomal RNA (956 nucleotides) under uncultured Haloarcula sp. RNAcentral's name for it is "bacterial SSU rRNA". It matches the Rfam family "Archaeal small subunit ribosomal RNA", at positions 6 to 962 of the family's 1478-position model. Lineage: Archaea; Methanobacteriati; Methanobacteriota; Halobacteria; Halobacteriales; Haloarculaceae. The record is from RNAcentral.
GGUUGAUCCUGCCGGAGGCCAUUGCUAUCGGAGUCCGAUUUAGCCAUGCUAGUUGCACGAGUUUAGACUCGUAGCAUAUAGCUCAGUAACACGUGGCCAAACUACCCUACAGACCGCGAUAACCUCGGGAAACUGAGGCCAAUAGCGGAUAUCACUCUCAGACUGGAGUGUCGAGAGCGAGAAACGUUCCGGCGCUGUAGGAUGUGGCUGCGGCCGAUUAGGUAGAUGGUGGGGUAACGGCCCACCAUGCCGAUAAUCGGUACAGGUUGUGAGAGCAAGAGCCUGGAGACGGUAUCUGAGACAAGAUACCGGGCCCUACGGGGCGCAGCGGGCGCGAAACCUUUACACUGCACGACAGUGCGAUAGGGGGACUCCGAGUGUGAGGGCAUAUAGCCCUCGCUUUUCUGAACCGUAAGGUGGUUCAGGAACAAAGACUGGGCAAGACCGGUGCCAGCCGCCGCGGUAAUACCGGCAGUCCAAGUGAUGGCCGAUAUUAUUGGGCCUAAAGCGUCCGUAGCCUGCUGUGUAAGUCCAUUGGGAAAUCGACCAGCUCAACUGGUCGGCGUCCGGUGGAAACUACACAGCUUGGGGCCGAGAGACUCAACGGGUACGUCCGGGGUAGGAGUGAAAUCCUGUAAUCCUGGACGGACCACCAAUGGGGAAACCACGUUGAGAGACCGGACCCGACAGUGAGGGACGAAAGCCAGGGUCUCGAACCGGAUUAGAUACCCGGGUAGUCCUGGCUGUAAACAAUGCUCGCUAGGUAUGUCACGCGCCAUGAGCACGUGAUGUGCCGUAGUGAAGACGAUAAGCGAGCCGCCUGGGAAGUACGUCCGCAAGGAUGAAACUUAAAGGAAUUGGCGGGGGAGCACCACAACCGGAGGAGCCUGCGGUUUAAUUGGACUCAACGCCGGACAUCUCACCGGUCCCGACAGUAGUAAUGACAGUCAGGUUGA